AUACGGAGGGUGCAAGCGUUGUUCGGAAUCACUGGGCGUAAAGGGCGCGCAGGCGGUUUGGUAAGUCAGAUGUGAAAGCCCACGGCUCAACCGUGGAAGUGCAUUUGAAACUGUCAGACUUGAGUACUAGAGGGGAAAGUGGAAUUCCCGGUGUAGAGGUGAAAUUCGUAGAUAUCGGGAGGAAUACCGGUGGCGAAGGCGACUUUCUGGCUAGAUACUGACGCUGCGGCGCGAAAGCGUGGGGAGCAAACAGGAUUAGAAACCCCAGUAGUCC
RNAcentral lists this ribosomal RNA (274 nucleotides) under uncultured bacterium. RNAcentral's name for it is "partial 16S ribosomal RNA". It matches the Rfam family "Bacterial small subunit ribosomal RNA", at positions 523 to 796 of the family's 1533-position model. The record is from RNAcentral.